AGAAGAGGAAGGAGAAGGUGGUGGAGAAAGAAAAAGAACGGAAAGGAACAGAAAGAGUAGGAGGUGGAGAAGGAGGAAGAGAGCCGCGAGUGCGACGACCGAGCCACAAUAGUGUGCGUCGUUUGUUGUUUCGUUGGCCAGUUUUCGGUUUGCAGUUUUCGUUUUCGUGAAUCCACGCAAUUUAAAGCGUGUCAGCUCGAGAGAGAAGCGGCAAAUCGGAGCACGAGUCACAGGAAGGGAUAUACAUGCGGUGAACCCUUCGAGUGGAUACAAUCACAGUAGAGAGUUAUAUAUUAGCGCGAGUUCUACUUCUCUGGCCGUCGUUGCGGAAGUCGCGGGUGGAGGGCCAGACCGAGAGGAACAGUGGAGAGGAACCCAGUGAAUCACCUGUGGUGAUAUGCAGUAAACGGGAGAGGGGAAA
Molecule: unclassified non-coding RNA, 421 nt
Filed under: Bombus terrestris (buff-tailed bumblebee)
Lineage: Eukaryota; Metazoa; Arthropoda; Insecta; Hymenoptera; Apidae
Description: misc RNA ENSBTSG00005019791.1
Source: RNAcentral